RNAcentral lists this ribosomal RNA (390 nucleotides) under Triticum aestivum (bread wheat). RNAcentral's name for it is "partial small subunit ribosomal RNA". Lineage: Eukaryota; Viridiplantae; Streptophyta; Magnoliopsida; Poales; Poaceae. The record is from RNAcentral.
AUGGCUCCUACCGAGGCUGAGGCUGAUGUAGAGGAGGGAGAAGAGAAGAAGAAGAGGGAAAGGAAAGCAGCUGGAGCUGCUUUCACGUGGAUUCAAAAUAACUUUGCGACGUGCCCUCCGGAUGCCACUGAUGAUGUGAUCCAGACACAUGCUCGUGUGUAUAUGUGGUACGUUGUGUCGAGGACUUUGUUUCCUGACUCCACUGGCAAGAACGCUCCAUGGAUGUGGCUGAAGGCGUUGACCGUCUUUGAUAGCAAAUGGAGAUGGGGUUCAGCGACUCUUGCCUACUUGUACCGACAGGUAGUUGGUCUGUUUUGUGAUCAACUCAUUUCUUCAUUAGCAAUGCAAGCUUGCUGUCAAGUUAACAUUGUUUUUUUCUUUCAUAUGUAG